This 1148-nucleotide long non-coding RNA is filed under the name Carica papaya (papaya). Its description in RNAcentral is "long non-coding RNA (CPAP_LNC012511)". The record is from RNAcentral. Lineage: Eukaryota; Viridiplantae; Streptophyta; Magnoliopsida; Brassicales; Caricaceae.
CCGCUUUCACGUCCAGUCUCCAUGCAAAUCCGCCACCCUCCAUUCUCCACACGUCACAAGGCAGAAUCAGAGAAUUCCUCUCCCUCCCACACGCGUACUGUAACCUCACCCUGCACGUGAAUGCCGGGUACGUUAGCAUCGCCCUUUCCUUCAUCACCAACCACACCAUCAUCCCUCCACACUGCCCUACCAUUUCCCUGUAAGCCCCAUUAGUCCACGUCACCCUCCCCAUGCCGUCCGAUAUGAACCCUGGACACGUGUCCCUUCCCAGAUUUCUCCUCCUUUCCUCGUCCGUACUCCCCAGUCCACCCCCCUCCACCCAAGUCUCCGUCACGCAUUCCACCGUCACGCACGAUCCCACCAACCUCACCGCCUCGGGCGUCACCACCCCCGGAUCUGAUCCACACCCUAAUCCAUCACCCAUCAGUUCCCCAAAUCUAUUAUCACUACUACUGCUCCCAAAACUCAGCCACACGGGAAACUUUUGUCCCUUCUUGGCUUCCUCCGGGUACCCUCUCGCCGGCGAGUCUUUCCGGUCCGGAGUCUCCGGCAACAAGGGCAGUGUCACCACUGUAUCUCCGUUGUACCCAUUUCGUUUCUCUUCCCGAUUCGACACCCUUCUCUUCCUAUUGCACCUCUUGCUGUUGUUUGUGUUUUCGUUGCUGCUGACGUUGUUCUUGUUUUCUUUCGAGUACUUUCUCUUGCCUCUUCCACAAUUAGAGUACACUUCACUGUUACACUCCAGCGGCGGAACGGAUCCGCCGGUUGCCGGUUUCGGGGCAAUCGGUCGGAACCGGAGCAUUAUCUGAUCCACUUGGGAAAUAUGGUAGACCCCACCAUCACCAGCAUACCUCGCUAUGCAGCAUCCACCCCUACCGUCCAUUGUUCUUCUUAAUUUUAUUUUCUCUCACCCUCUACAAUUCCCUCACUCUCUCUCACUGCAACUCAGUUUUUCUUCACAGUUUCCUGAGUUCACCGGAGUCGGUUGAUUUUUUUGCGCAGAUUUGGAGGGGAGCAAUCUGGACGCAUUAAAGAAGAUUGCUGGCGUAUGAGGAGGAGAAAGUAUGGGAGACGUGACUGGUGUUUAUAAGAACUCCGCCGCGACACGUGUGGAGGGCUGACACGUGUGAAAAGGUAGGUUUAACAGC